GCCAGACUCCUACGGGAGGCAGCAGUAGGGAAUCUUUCACAAUGGGCGAAAGCCUGAUGGAGCAACGCCGCGUGCAGGAUGAAGGCCUUCGGGUUGUAAACUGCUUUUAUAAGCGAGAAAUAUGAUGGUAACUUAUGAAUAAGGAUCGGCUAACUACGUGCCAGCAGCCGCGGUAAUACGUAGGGGGCGAGCGUUAUCCGGAUUCACUGGGUGUAAAGGGAGCGUAGACGGCCAUGCAAGCCAGGGGUGAAAGCCCGGGGCCCAACCCCGGGACUGCCCUUGGAACUGCAUGGCUGGAGUGCGGGAGGGGCAGGCGGAAUUCCUGGUGUAGCGGUGAAAUGCGUAGAUAUCAGGAGGAACACCGGCGGCGAAGGCGGCCUGCUGGACCGCGACUGGCGUUGAGGCUCGAAAGCGUGGGGAGCGAACAGGAUUAGAUACCCCAGUA
Molecule: ribosomal RNA, 445 nt
Filed under: uncultured bacterium
Lineage: Bacteria
Description: bacterial SSU rRNA
Rfam family: Bacterial small subunit ribosomal RNA
Source: RNAcentral